This 733-nucleotide long non-coding RNA is filed under the name Gossypium barbadense (sea-island cotton). Its description in RNAcentral is "long non-coding RNA (GBAR_LNC020435)". Lineage: Eukaryota; Viridiplantae; Streptophyta; Magnoliopsida; Malvales; Malvaceae. The record is from RNAcentral.
ACUUUCAUAUAAUCUCUCACCAUGUUUGGUUGGUUGUAUUGGCACCCACUUCAAUCCUCUGUUUGGUUCAGGGUAUUGGCUAAUACCCGUCUAUUACAUUACACCCCUAAUCCUCAAAAUCUACCGAUUUCUAUUACGUUCCUCUUUCUCAGAUUAGGUGCUGCUUGAGUUUUAGACCCUGUUUUACCCUCCUGCUUCCCCUUUCCGUCUUCUGUUUCUUCCUUCUGUCUUUCUUUUGCUGAAGAUUACAAUAGAAUCGACGCUUGGCCUUCUCAACCUUUUAUUUUCGGAGUUUACUGCAACUGGAAAGGUAAAUUCAUAUUUCUAACUCUCUUUUGCUCUCAAAUUUAUAUGGAUUCCUGUAUUUUAAUUAGCUUAAGUUCCGAGUAGAUUUCUAUUUCUUAAAGGUUUUUGUUGCUGGUGGAAAUUGGAACUCGAUUGCUCUAUUUGUGGACUGAUGUAACCUAUUCAUUAUCGUUUUCUUGAAAAACUCUAUUAUUGAUAAUCUGCUCUCAACUUUAUCAGGAAAAACCAGUCAAGCCGAAGCCUGCACCUGCGGCCAUCUCAAGCACAGCUUUGAAGCAAGCUUCAGGUUCUUUAUUUUCUUAGUUCUGUAUUUGGAAAGAUCAACCUGCUUUUAUCUUUUAUUUGAAAAAAAGGAGAUUCUAUCCAGGAAAUAUUUUUUAUAUUUAUGCCUUCUCUUUUUCUUUUUCUUUUCUUUUUUGGUAACAAU